UGCCGUAAACUGCCGAAAGGCGUCGCAGUAUAAAAUCUGGACGUAAACCUUUGCCUGGUCUCAGUGGCAUUUACAAGAGUGGCGAGGUUGUCAAAGGAACUGAAAAAGGAAAGUGUGUUUCCCAAACUGCUGUAAGGUCGGAAAUGGACUCUCAUGGCCCCUACCACGCUGUACUCAUGCUGUCCAGAGUGCAGUUUCCUGAACCUCCUGACAAGUGUCCCUUGGGCCUCUUAAGAUGCGAACAAGUUCCAACGUGUGUGGUCAAGUGAUUAGACAUGACCUCAAAAAAAUGGCUGCAUUACCAAUAAGAAGCAUGUCUGCGAACAGAACUAAGCUGCCUGCAUUCACAAUGGUCUGUGGACAUGACCAUCUGGUGGACCAAAUCAAGAAGUUGGCACCUAGUUACCAAUGCUCAGCCAUGUCAUAGAUGUUUCUUUAAAAGGCUCAAGCAUGUUGUCUUUAAAACGUUUGAGCUUCAGUGACCACCAGGGGAUGCUGCUUACUUCCUGAAGCCACUGGUGUCCAUGCAGAGAAUCUGGAGGCUUGCGUAAGUUGAUGUUUUGCUGAGUUUUACUUCAUUGCCUCUGGGUGUCCCAAAAUGUACAAAAAGAUCUACAUCCAGAGUCUCUAGAGCAGAACUUCAACGUGUAACCUGGAGGGACCAGACACGAUACAAAAGCAUGCUGCUUCCAAGGCGACCAUUUUACCUCCCAAGCCGUGUCCACUCAGUUUCUUAUCUCAAUUCUGACAUAGCCAGUCGUGGUAUGUUAGCUACACCUCAACACGGUACCCUCUCAGUUGAGGAGUAUUGCAUAAGUGCUGUAACUAAUGAAGCAGGCCCAUGCAGAUGGGGUAUAGCCUCGUAAUGCUCCUGGCAUAUAAGGAGCUCCAAAUAUGUAUUCCUAAUAAGUAGCCUAUUGCAAGGUUAAAUGGAUGAUUAAUAAUCGGUUACAAAUAGGGGUGUACGUGUAUUUCUACUGAACCGUUCAGUACAGGAUGAUCGGUCAGGUAUGCAUCUUCCUCAGUUUGGUACACCAUGUGACCCAAGAAUUACUGUCAUAGUUGUUUGCAACAUUACUUGCUGAUUUUAGAGUAUAAUUUAGUGUAAACUGCAGUUCAGGAGUUGUUAAUUGGUUUUUCAUUUCAAAUAUGCCAGUAUUUGAGGACCAAUGUUUACAGUAAGAAUUAUGGCCAGAGAGCCACUGUUGAAUGUUAACAUUCCAAAUGAUAUGAACAAAUGUAGAAUACAUUUCCUGCAUUGUGUCUGUUCCCUGUACGGAAAACUGUCUGAACCCUCAGUUUUAUGUGCUGCUUCAGCCCUAGUAAUAAGUGAACUAUUCAUUGUGAUGGACGUUUUGAAAGUGGUUUCAAGUGUUCUUAAUUCUGUAUUGUAAUGUUCAAAACGCUCAUGGGUGGGCUGUUUGUCAUUUGUAAUUAAACUCUGCUCAUUCA
Long non-coding RNA from Clupea harengus (Atlantic herring), 1452 nucleotides. RefSeq lists it as uncharacterized. NCBI's taxonomy places the organism in Eukaryota, Metazoa, Chordata, Actinopteri, Clupeiformes, Clupeidae. The record is from RefSeq and is a predicted model, not a curated record.